RNAcentral lists this unclassified non-coding RNA (135 nucleotides) under uncultured Rozellomycota. RNAcentral's name for it is "uncultured Cryptomycota sequence contains ITS1". Lineage: Eukaryota; Fungi; Rozellomycota. The record is from RNAcentral.
CAAAUCAUGGGCUGGGGGAGGCGUGGUGGUUCAGCGAGCCACUGCGCACCCUCGGCCGACAUUUGGUCGGGACGCUCGUCCUGGAUCAUAUUCACGCUUGUGCUGUUUGACAGAGUAAAGACGCAGUUAAUGAGA